RNAcentral lists this long non-coding RNA (924 nucleotides) under Sus scrofa (pig). Its description in RNAcentral is "lncRNA (ENSSSCG00025054867.1)". The record is from RNAcentral. Lineage: Eukaryota; Metazoa; Chordata; Mammalia; Artiodactyla; Suidae.
AUGUUCUGCCUUGCUAUCCCACACCUAUCUCUAAAUAAGUCAGGAACUGCUGUGGCGGGCCUCUGGAUAUCACAUACAAUGACAAAAAUAAACCGAUGCCUGACACGUAGGAGAACAAAUCCUCACCGGGGAUUUAAAAUAAGUGAUUAUGUCCUCCUUCAUUUUAUUCUUUUGUUCAGCCAGCGUGGCUUCUACUCCACAAAUAUAGGUGUGCAAGAAGUAGAUUUUCUUUGGUUUUCUAUAAAUGAGCUUACUCGUCCCAUCAGGGAGCAGAAGAUUGGUGUCAUCAAUAAAUCCAGGGCUUCCUUCCCUCGCUAUCCAAGUUCUGGAGGACUCAUGCAGAGUCUCCAUCAGAGUCUGGGAUGUCACCUGUCAUCAACCACACCUAUGCUUUUGCAGCAAAACUCAGGAGGAGUAAAAGUGAAAUAAAGACGAUCGACACUUUCACGGCAGCUCAGGCAGGAUUUGCCACCAAAUGAGGUUUAGCACCAAAAAGGGAAAAUUGUUGUUUUUCAUCAUUUUUGUUUGAGUAUUUCUUCUACAAUUACCCAGGAAGAAUGGAUCCAAAACCCAGAAUAUAAGACCCAAAAGAACCUGCCUGCACUAAGAGCCACCCCAACCAGGAAGGAUUCUGUGUUGGCAUCUACUCAAGUGCAGAGGGUCUGGGCUGUGACCUGCAGAGAGCUCCCAGCAUGAAUAGCAAAGCUUCCAGGAAGGUAAGUGCCAACUUUGUGAAUUCCCAUCAAUGCAGCAAGACAACUCCAAGGACUGACUUCACCUUCAGUCUUGUGCUAAGCAGUAAAGGUAAAACAGUGAAUACAGUUCUGGCCUGGCCAGCAUGGCAGGACAGAAAGUUUAGGUAAGUGAAACAAGACCCCAAAAGAUGGGUGAAACAAGGUCCCCCACAACCUGUGACCAUGUGAU